UCUCUUCCUCCCGGUCCUCACUCCGUCAAUCCCCUCUUCCUUCUCUCGCCUCCCAUGGCGCCGCCGCUCCUGCCUCCUCACCUCCCGUGGCCCGCCCUCCCGGUCGUGUCUCUUCUCUCCAUCGCCAGUCGCGGAAGCUGCUGCGCUCCUCUUCCUCCCUAGCCGCAUCGCGCGAGAGACCCGAGGUCACCCGCCUCCGAUCCGACGGGCGAGGCGGCCAGCGGCUGCCUCCCGGUCAAAUCCGGCUGCCCACCGACCGACUCGAGCUGGCGGUGUUGUUCCCGGCGGAGCACGCCGUCGCGCCGUUGAUGUGGGGAUGCCAUAGGGGAGCACGCCGUCGCCAUCGGCUGCGUCCUGGGCGACUCCGACGCGCCCUGCCACGAGCUUCGUCUCCUCUGUCGCUGCCGUGAGCUUCUCCGCCGCUACCUCAUCUCCUCCAGCACCCUCUCUUGCUCGUGUAUCUGGACGAGAGGCAACCUACUGAGAGGAACAUGUCGACCUUGGUGACAUCUAGGAUGAGGCACGUCCAUGAAAUCGAUGGUGAGGCAGCCGGCCGUCAGGGGUGCGUUAGCUUGGGUGAUCCCCUAGCGAAGCUGCAGCGACCACACAAGGUGCAUGUAGCCGGCAUCAUGACACUCUUGGGGCACACUGGAGCCUGGUGAUUAUGUGCGUUCCUGCAAAAAAGAGUAAUUCAGGACCAAUCUUACUUCAUCUGGACUCCUUAGGGAUGCAUCCUACUCUAGAGGAAUUGAUGACGGCGGUGGUCAUUUUCCAGAUUCAGCAGUGCAUACUUGGAACAGGUAAUAAAAAGGGAAUCACUUAAUUUUAUUUGUAUUUGCACCAAUAAUCAUGCUUAGCAUAUUAGAACAAUUUACUUUGAGAACAAAUGGCUGGAAGAACGAUGCGAUUUGAUACCCUGUUAUGUUGGUGUCGAGAGAAAAUUUGGUGUUUCGUUUUUCUUAUAUGUACAAUUAUCUGCCGUGAAUCUUGUGCUUUCAAUCAAUGUGUUUAUUUUGGCUAAAUUCUGAGCCUUUUCUGGAUCUGAGCAAACGAUCCUGCAACGACAGCAAGAGGCAGCCCACAUGAAUCUAUUGAGGUGCACCUUUAUCUUGACCAUGCCUCUGGUUUUUAGUUAGACACCAUGUUUGCAGAUUCAAGUUCCAAAAUCAGGGUACUGUUUUUUAUUUCUUGCUUAAUUUUGUUUGGUAGUUCCCUUUGUGUUCGGUAGUGGGACAUGUGUUGGUCUACACAGGUAUUUCUUUUGUCUGUCAAAUGCUACCAAACAAACCAGUGCCAUGGUGGCUAGGAUGGGUCCUCUUAGAUGUCCAUUCGGAUUACAAAUUGUGGAGGGACCGGUCAACAUUUUUAGUAUUUUACUACAUGGCUGCUAAGUAUACAUAGAUUUAGGAAAACUACCUGCGGUAAUUCCUGCUCCGGCAUGCGUUUCUCUUAAUUCUUGAAUUAUGAAUUCAGACCAAGAUUUAUGAAUUCUAAUUAUUAGUUUGAUUUACAUUUUUGUUUUCAUUAUUGUGCCUUCUAUCCAAGGUGAUCAUAUGAAAUCUUUAAAUAACUUAUUAUCCAUUGGUUCCUCUGCCUGCUCAAUGGAAACAAUAUCGUGAGACAUAAUAGGGAGUAUAUUAGACAAAUACGCAUCUUUGUAGUGAAAUGCCAUGCUCUCAAGUAUCUUGCAGUGCCAACAUAUAGUUAAGAUGUAUUAGUAUCUUUGAAUGUUCCAACAAGUAGCCCGACUACACAUACUUGUAGUAAUUUUAAGCUUCAAUUUAUUAUUUUUGUGGUUUCAAGCUAGGAUUAGCACUUCCUGAUGUUAUUUUUGGCUUUGGAUUGUAAGUAAACUCUUUUUAGAUGAGCAUCCUUUUCCACCGACAAAUAAUAGCCAAUCAAUAUUUCCUUGAUAUAUUUUGCAUUACUGAUAUACUUUACAUGUAGAGAUUAUCAACAUUUGUAUUAGACCAAUAAUAGUUGUCGAAAUUUUGUAGUUGUGUGCUAUUGCCUGCAAGAUACUGGAUUCUUAUAGAGUCAAUUAACUGGGAGAAUGAUAACUACAAAAGGCGUUGCUAAUCUUGACACGACGAAACACAUUCUCUGUUAUGUCCAUGAUGUUUCACUCCUACCUUACUCCGCUGAAUUACUCUACCUAUAAAAGGGGGACAGAGUGAACCUGCUGACAUAUCUUAAUUGUUAUGCUGUGAUUGAAUUGUCGUUGCUCGGUACCGUGAGAACAUGGAGAUGUGCAGGCUCAUGGAGCAGGUUGUGUUCUCGGAUCCAUACAUGGCCUCUAAAUACACUUGCUGGGAUUCGCCUCUUCUUGACGCUGAAGCAGUUCGAGAGGAUGAUGGUUUUGGAACGUCCGAGUUGUUGCCGUUUAUGUGAUGGAUCUGUUGUUGCAUUCGUUGAUCUGUUGGUCCGCUAUUUGCAGGUGCUCGUUGGUCUGCCGGUCAUUUGAUUUGUGCCAGCUUGCUACUCCUCGUCCACCACCUUGCAGUGGCGGAGAAGUGGAACCAGAAGUGGAGGUCAACAUAUUACAGGUGAUGCCUGCGUGUAAUAUGUUGACCUCCACUUCUGGUUCCACUUCUCCGCCGCUGCCCCACCGUCCAGGUCCAGCCCCACUCCCCCGUCACUCCUCCUACGUCCUCUGCAGGAGAAGAAUUUGUUAUGUUGGGCUCGGACUAUGUUGACAGCCAUCUUGGCCAGCAAGAGGAUGCUCACCUGCUUCGUCUUCCUCACCAGUCGGCUCUUAUUAACCAAUGAUGAUGUAUCUUCAAGGGCAGACUGUGAACAAGUACUACAAAGAGGAUAUCUCUAAAUCAAGUUGCACGCCCACUAGAGAAAACCACAGGUUGGUUUGCACAAGGUGCUGUAGUUUUCAAGAUAUAUCAUGUGCUCAAAUGUUUGAACCAAAGGCUUAUGUUGUGUACCGAAAGAAUCCUGAGAAAUUUUAGAAGGCUCAAGCUCAAGGCAUCACUCAAAACAGAGUAAGAGAAUAAGCUGGGAAUGGUGCAGUGGUAUGAAAUUAAAAAGAAACUGAAUAUAAAGUUGAAGAGGUGGAGCCAAGCAUGUUGGCCUGCAGUCAUGCUCUAGUUUAUUUACAGAAUAUGAUCCUAAUAACUAUUCUAACCUCGAGGAGUCAAAGACAGAUGGCCUGUCAUGUUCACCCAUCAAGACAUCAAAAAGGAAGAGGGUGAUUGCUGAACCUGAAGGAGCACCAGCAAAGUCCUUGAAAAACGUGGUUGUGCCGGAGAAAUCAGACAGCACCCUAGUUAUAUUGGUUAUACAACCAGUAACACAAAACGUAGGACCGACUCCAGUAGACUGUACCCAUACUUCAUUGGCCACACCACUAGCCGCACCACACAGGACCUGCACUCCAGCAAAAGGUAUGCCGAUUUCAGUUGCCAUAGCACCAGCCGUACCACAGAAAAAUCCCACUCCAGCAAAAAGUACAGCAAGUCCAUCGGCCGAAGACCUAUCCCAACUACAGAGACGGCCAAUUCCUGCAGAUU
This is a non-coding RNA of Aegilops tauschii subsp. strangulata, 3521 nucleotides long. Lineage: Eukaryota; Viridiplantae; Streptophyta; Magnoliopsida; Poales; Poaceae. The record is from RefSeq and is a predicted model, not a curated record.